CUCCCCUCAAGCGCGGCUUGUGUGUUGGGCGCUGUCCCCCCGGGGACACGCCCCAAAGGCAGUGGCGGCGUCGCGUCGGGUCCUCGAGCGUAUGGGGCUUUGUCACCCGCUCGGGAGGGACCUGCGGGCGCUGGUCUUCCUUGCGCAGCCCUCUGGGUUGCUUCUCU
This 167-nucleotide unclassified non-coding RNA is filed under the name uncultured Talaromyces. RNAcentral describes it as "sequence contains ITS2". Lineage: Eukaryota; Fungi; Ascomycota; Eurotiomycetes; Eurotiales; Trichocomaceae. The record is from RNAcentral.